GACGAACGCUGGCGGCGUGCCUAACACAUGCAAGUCGAACGGAGUUAAGUCUUCGGUAUUUAACUUAGUGGCGAACGGGUGAGUAACGCGUGAGAAACCUGCCUUUCAGUGGGGGACAACAGUUGGAAACGACUGCUAAUACCGCAUAAUGUGCCGGAGGGCAUCCCUCUGGUACCAAAGCUUUAUGUGCUGAAAGAUGGUCUCGCGUCUGAUUAGCUAGAUGGCGGGGUAACGGCCCACCAUGGCGACGAUCAGUAGCCGGUCUGAGAGGAUGAACGGCCACAUUGGGACUGAGAUACGGCCCAG
Molecule: ribosomal RNA, 306 nt
Filed under: uncultured bacterium
Lineage: Bacteria
Description: bacterial SSU rRNA
Rfam family: Bacterial small subunit ribosomal RNA
Source: RNAcentral